Non-coding RNA from Nonlabens dokdonensis DSW-6, 28 nucleotides. The record is from Rfam. Lineage: Bacteria; Pseudomonadati; Bacteroidota; Flavobacteriia; Flavobacteriales; Flavobacteriaceae.
CAACCUCUGACGAUAAUCGUGAAUGUUG